Molecule: ribosomal RNA, 253 nt
Filed under: uncultured bacterium
Lineage: Bacteria
Description: partial 16S ribosomal RNA
Rfam family: Bacterial small subunit ribosomal RNA
Source: RNAcentral
UACGUAGGGUGCAAGCGUUGUCCGGAAUUAUUGGGCGUAAAGAGCUUGUAGGCGGCCUGUCGCGUCUGCUGUGAAAAUCCGGGGCUCAACCCCGGACUUGCAGUGGGUACGGGCAGACUAGAGUGUGGUAGGGGAGACUGGAAUUCCUGGUGUAGCGGUGAAAUGCGCAGAUAUCAGGAGGAACACCGAUGGCGAAGGCAGGUCUCUGGGCCACUACUGACGCUGAGAAGCGAAAGCAUGGGGAGCGAACAGG